GAUGAACGCUGGCGGCGUGCCUAAUACAUGCAAGUCGAGCGAACGGACGAGAAGCUUGCUUCUCUGAUGUUAGCGGCGGACGGGUGAGUAACACGUGGAUAACCUACCUAUAAGACUGGGAUAACUUCGGGAAACCGGAGCUAAUACCGGAUAAUAUUUUGAACCGCAUGGUUCAAAAGUGAAAGACGGUCUUGCUGCCACUUAUAGAUGGAUCCGCGCUGCAUUAGCUAGUUGGUAAGGUAACGGCUUACCAAGGCAACGAUGCAUAGCCGACCUGAGAGGGUGAUCGGCCACACUGGAACUGAGACACGGUCCAGACUCCUACGGGAGGCAGCAGUAGGGAAUCUUCCGCAAUGGGCGAAAGCCUGACGGGGCAACGCCGCGUGAGUGAUGAAGGUCUUCGGAUCGUAAAACUCUGUUAUUAGGGAAGAACAUAUGUGUAAGUAACUGUGCACAUCUUGACGGUACCUAAUCAGAAAGCCACGGCUAACUACGUG
Molecule: ribosomal RNA, 497 nt
Filed under: uncultured bacterium
Lineage: Bacteria
Description: partial 16S ribosomal RNA
Rfam family: Bacterial small subunit ribosomal RNA
Source: RNAcentral